AAUAAAUAUUUGAUGCCAUUUCAAUAUCGUAGUAUUAGACGUGCACUAUAUCUUGCAAGAACACUAAUUACAAAUGCAAUAUCUAGUCUUAUAGAUUUAGCCAAAUAUAAAAGUCCUCCAACCAUUGUCGUAAUACGUGAAGUCUUGCUUGAGAAUGCUCCGAGCACUUGGCUAUGGUAGGAAGAAUGGAAAUUUCAAUAACAAAAUCUUAAUUCUAAUAGAAUACUAAUAAUGCUUUAAUUAGACCAUAAUAAUGCUAAGUAAGCUUAAUCAAAUUCAAAAAACCUUAAAGAAAUUUCAAACAAAAAAUAAGAAUUUUUAAAGAAAUAUUAGAAGGAUCACCAAUAUCACUCAAAUACAUCUCAACUCAAUCUUAAUUUAAUUCUACUUAAAAUCCUAUUGAACUUCAUUCAAACUUUAGGCCAAAAUUAAUUGAAUCUUAAAUCUUAAUAAUAUACUAAAUCUUAAAUAAAACCCUAAAAAAACCUUAAACCAAACCCUAAUCAAAUCCUAAACCAAAUCCUAACCAAAUUCUAAACCAAACUUUAACCCUAAAUCAAACCCUAACCAAACUCUAAUCCAAAUUCUAAAUCCUAAAUCAAAUCCUAACCAAAUCCUAAUCUAAAUUCUAAAUCCUAAAUCAAAUCCUAACCAAAUCCUAAUCAAAUCCUAAACCCUAAAUAAAACCCUAACCAAAUCCUAAAUCCUAAAGAAAAUCCUAACCAAAUCCUAAACCAAACUCUAAAUCCUAAAUAAAUCUUAAAUUCCAAAUCCUAAAUCCUAAAUCAAAUCCUAAUCCAAAUCCUAAAUCCUAAAUAAAUCCUUAAUUCCAAAACCUAA
RNAcentral lists this long non-coding RNA (840 nucleotides) under Physcomitrium patens. Its description in RNAcentral is "long non-coding RNA (PPAT_LNC001746)". Lineage: Eukaryota; Viridiplantae; Streptophyta; Bryopsida; Funariales; Funariaceae. The record is from RNAcentral.